This 1748-nucleotide long non-coding RNA is filed under the name Homo sapiens (human). Its description in RNAcentral is "HSALNT0376749". The record is from RNAcentral. Lineage: Eukaryota; Metazoa; Chordata; Mammalia; Primates; Hominidae.
GGUGGGCACCAUCCAAUCUGCUGCCAGCACAGCCAGAACACAGUAGGCGGAAGAAGGUGGGAUAGGCUGGCUUGAUGAGCCUUCUGACUUUCACCUUUCUCCCCUGCUGGAUGCAUCCAUCCAUCUCUCCCUCCUGCCUUCAGACAUCAGACUCCAGCUUCUUUGGCCUUUGGACUCUUAGACUUACACUAGUGGUUUGCUGGGGGCUUUCCGGCCUUUGGCCACAGACUGAAGGCUGCAUCGUCAGCUUCCCUACCUUUGAAGAUUUUGGACUUUGACUGAGUCACUAUUGGCUUCUUUCUUCCUCAGCUUGCAGACGGCCUAUCAUGGGACUUCACCUUGUGAUCAAUUUCAUUCCUGCAGAAACCACAAUAAAGGGACGUGCCCUCAGUUGCCCUGUCUCCCUCUGCCUCAUGACUGACCGCGGUGCAUGACCUGAGUGGCCUUGUGUGGCCUGCUGCUUUCUCCCCAGUGAACUGUGAAUUACUAAUUGAGGCAUAUUUUGUGACUAUGGCAGAGGCAAAAAAGUACAAACAAGUUGUUUUGGGGUGAGAUAAACAUUUAAAUUGGUGAACUUUGAGAGGAAAAUUAGAAGACAAGUAUCCUCAUUUCCACCUGGAUCCAGUCUUUCUUCCUUAUUACUUUUAUUAACAAUAUCAGUUAAGGUUUAUAUGGAUGUCUUGCUUUGGCCUGUACAAAAAACUACUUUGUAUAUGCCUUAUUUUAUUAAUUUUGCUUCUGAAUUUCAUCAAAUUCUCUGAUCAUAACUCUAUAUUCUUGUAAGGAAUGCUCAGAAUUAUACUAUUUCACUCCAAAUUUUAUUAUUAUUGAGACGAAACUGGGUAUAGAAAGUUGUGGGACCAGUUUGUAAUUUAUUGCUUUAAAAUUUGGUCAAGCCACUCAAAUUCUCUAGCUGUACCUAUGAAAUAGCUUUAAUAUUUCAAUCCCCUGCAUUUUCUUUGAAUAAUAUGGAGUUUGAAUUGAAGUGGUCCUGAAUUUGAGUGCUGCAUAUGCUACUUUUGAGAUAUGUGAUCUUGAGCAAGUUGCUUAAUCACAUUAAACCUCAAUUCUCUCAUCUUUAAAAUAGAAAAAAUAAUAGCUACUUUACAGUGUUGAGAAAAGAAUAAGAUGAAACAGUUUAUUAAAAACAUAGAAGAGUGCUUAAGACAUAAUAAAGUCUACAUAAAUUGUGCCUAUUGUUAUUACUAAUAAAAAAAAAAGAAAUUCUACGUGUCAGGAAUUUGAACAAAUUACAGCUGGAUUUGCAUAUUUCUUCCACAAGAUGUAUGUGGUCCCAUCUGAUAAUAGGGAAUUGGUUGGUAACUGGAAUCUUCUUGGAAACCUCUUAAAUCACAGAUCUUGCACUUGUACUGGGAUAAUCUGGAGUGUGUGCUCCUCUGAGUUUGUUGACCAAAUCACCUACAGGUGAACUCUCCAUAUAUGUAUUUUCCUAGUCAAUUCCUACACUGACCUCAAGCAAACACUGAUCAGCUUUCUGUCAUAAUAGAUGCGAUUUACUUUUUUAGAAUUUAAUAAAACUCAAAUUAUACUGUAUGCAUCCUUUUGUGUCUGGAUUGCUUUUUUUUCUCUGCCUUACAUUGUUGAAUAUAUUCUAGGUAUGUUUUACUAAUUGCUUGGUUGUAUAUUAAUGCAUACUGCAUUUUGUUUAUCCAUUCAACUAUUGAUGGAAAUUGGAGUUGUUUUCAGUUUCUGGUUAUAAAUAAAACAGCUAUGAACAUUUACAUACC